GUGGAUCCAGGGCCUCCAACCGCCCCAGCUGAUCUGCCAGGAAAGGGGUCCCUGCUGCCCGGGGGCUGCCUCGGCUGGCGCCACGUGGAGAUGAAGAGGAGACAACUCACUGGAGCCCGUGGCACAGCCUGAGGGAGACAACUCACGGGAGCCCGUGGCACAGCCUGAGGGAGACAACUCACUGGAGCCCGUGGCACAGCCUGAGGGAGACAACUCACGGGAGCCCGUGGCACAGCCUGAGGGGUCU
Molecule: long non-coding RNA, 247 nt
Filed under: Homo sapiens (human)
Lineage: Eukaryota; Metazoa; Chordata; Mammalia; Primates; Hominidae
Description: HSALNT0157335
Source: RNAcentral